RNAcentral lists this ribosomal RNA (328 nucleotides) under Hyphomicrobium sp. RNAcentral's name for it is "bacterial SSU rRNA". It matches the Rfam family "Bacterial small subunit ribosomal RNA", at positions 1 to 362 of the family's 1533-position model. The record is from RNAcentral. Lineage: Bacteria; Pseudomonadati; Pseudomonadota; Alphaproteobacteria; Hyphomicrobiales; Hyphomicrobiaceae.
AACGGAGAGUUUGAUCCUGGCUCAGGAUGAACGCUGGCGGCGUGCUUAACACAUGCAAGUCGAACGAACCUUCGGGUUAGUGGCGGACGGGUGAGUAACGCGUGGGAAUCUGCCCUCAGGAGGGGGAUAACGGUUGGAAACGGCCGCUAAUACCCCAUAUGCCGAGAGGUGAAAUGAAUUUCGCCUGAGGAUGAGCCCGCGUCUGAUUAGCUAGUUGGUGAGGUAAGAGCUCACCAAGGCAUCGAUCAGUAGCUGGUCUGAGAGGAUGAUCAGCCACACUGGGACUGAGACACGGCCCAGACUCCUACGGGAGGCAGCAGUGGGGAAU